RNAcentral lists this ribosomal RNA (399 nucleotides) under uncultured bacterium. RNAcentral describes it as "partial 16S ribosomal RNA". It matches the Rfam family "Bacterial small subunit ribosomal RNA", at positions 338 to 754 of the family's 1533-position model. The record is from RNAcentral.
CCUACGGGGGGCAGCAGUGGGGAAUAUUGCACAAUGGGCGAAAGCCUGAUGCAGCAACGCCGCGUGAGCGAUGAAGGCCUUCGGGUCGUAAAGCUCUGUCCUCAAGGAAGAUAAUGACGGUACCUGCAAAGGAAGCACCGGCUAACUCCGUGCCAGCAGCCGCGGUAAUACGGAGGGGGCGAGCGUUAAUCGGAAUUACGGGGCGUAACGCGCGCGUAGGCGGUAUGUCAAGUCAAGGGUGAAAUCCCCGCGCUCAACUUGGGAACUUCCUUUGAAACUGGCAACCUGGAGUGUGUGGGAGGUUGGUGGACUUCCAGGUGUAGGAGUGAAAUCCGUCGAUAUCUGGAGGACCAUCAGUGGCGAAGGCGACUCUCUGGUACAUACCUGACGCUGAGGCGC